GAUGAACGCUGACAGAAUGCUUAACACAUGCAAGUCGAUGGGGAAGUGGUGCUUGCACCCUGGCAACCAUGGCGGACGGGUGAGUAACGCGUAAGGGACUUACCUGCAGGACUGGGAUAACAGGGGGAAACUCCUGACAAGACCGGAUCAUGUCAUGGCUCUGCAUGGCUUUAUGAUGCAAGGAGACGCCUGCGGAGAGCCUUGCGUCCUAUUAGCUAGUUGGUGAGGUAAUGGCUCACCAAGGCGAAGAUAGGUAGCCGGCCUGAGAGGGUGGACGGCCAAGAGGGGAAUGAGAGGCGGCAGUUAGGCAUACGGGAGGCAGGAGUGGAGAAUAUUGGACCAAGGGGGCAUGAGUGAUCCAGCAAUUCGGUGUGCACGAAGAAGGUUUUCGGAAAGAAAAGGGCUUUCAGAAGGGAAGGAGUAAGUGACGGUACCAGCAGAAGAAGCGACGGCUAACUACGUG
RNAcentral lists this ribosomal RNA (463 nucleotides) under uncultured bacterium. RNAcentral's name for it is "partial 16S ribosomal RNA". It matches the Rfam family "Bacterial small subunit ribosomal RNA", at positions 28 to 507 of the family's 1533-position model. The record is from RNAcentral.